AACGAACGCUGGCGGCAUGCCUAACACAUGCAAGUCGAACGGGAUCCUAGCUUGCUAGGUGAGAGUGGCGGACGGGUGAGUAACACGUGGGAAUCUGCCUUUUGGUUCGGGAUAACCGCGGGAAACUGCGGCUAAUACCGAAUGCCCUCGAGAGAGGAAAGAUUUAUCGCCAGAAGAGGAGCCCGCGUCCGAUUAGGUAGUUGGUGGGGUAAAGCCUACCAAGCCGACGAUCGGUAGCUGGUCUGAGAGGAUGAUCAGCCACACUGGGACUGAGAUACGGCCCAGACUCCUACGGGAGGCAGCAGUGGGGAAUAUUGGACAAUGGGGGCAACCCUGAUCCAGCAAUGCCGCGUGAGUGAUGAAGGCCUUAGGGUUGUAAAGCUCUUUGCCAGGAGAUGAUGACUGUACCU
RNAcentral lists this ribosomal RNA (410 nucleotides) under uncultured bacterium. RNAcentral describes it as "bacterial SSU rRNA". It matches the Rfam family "Bacterial small subunit ribosomal RNA", at positions 29 to 459 of the family's 1533-position model. The record is from RNAcentral.